This 253-nucleotide ribosomal RNA is filed under the name uncultured bacterium. RNAcentral describes it as "partial 16S ribosomal RNA". It matches the Rfam family "Bacterial small subunit ribosomal RNA", at positions 524 to 776 of the family's 1533-position model. The record is from RNAcentral.
UACGUAGGGGGCAAGCGUUGUCCGGAUUUACUGGGCGUAAAGCGCGCGUAGGUGGCCCUGUAAGUCCGUUGUGAAAGUCAAAGGCUCAACCUUUGAAAGCCGAUGGAUACUGCAGGACUAGAGUACGGAAGAGGCGAGUGGAAUUCCUGGUGUAGCGGUGGAAUGCGCAGAUAUCAGGAGGAACACCAAUAGCGAAGGCAGCUCGCUGGGACGUUACUGACACUGAGGCGCGAAAGCGUGGGGAGCGAACAGG